Molecule: long non-coding RNA, 468 nt
Filed under: Vigna radiata
Lineage: Eukaryota; Viridiplantae; Streptophyta; Magnoliopsida; Fabales; Fabaceae
Description: long non-coding RNA (VRAD_LNC005882)
Source: RNAcentral
AAUUUUCACUAUAUUUAACACAAGCAAUAACAAACUUUUCAAGUCAAAAUAACUUUCAUUCAUUACGAUAAAUAACAACGUCAAUUAUACAACACCGAGUUGAAUGUAUUUCUCAUACAUAUUCCAUCCUAAGUACAUUGGAUCCGAAGUACAAUGAAAAACACUGCUAAAAGACAUCAUGGAUUUGUCAUCCAUAUUGUAACUACAAUUAUGUUCAUUAGACAAAUAACACUAACCACCCCUAUCAACACCUUAAUUUUUUUUUCCAAUAUCUUAACUGAUUUCUCCAAAUCACUUAUAAUCUUCCAUCUACCUUCCAUUUAUUCUCUAUGGACGAAAGAGUCAGCCUUUCCUUCACACUUCCAUCCCUUUCCUCAAUCCCAUCAUCAGUAGACCAUUUGAAGUAAUAACAACCACCAUCUUCAUUACCAUUCUGUGACAAAAAAAACACCAAUUACAUCCAACAAU